Long non-coding RNA from Pecten maximus, 1566 nucleotides. RefSeq lists it as uncharacterized. Lineage: Eukaryota; Metazoa; Mollusca; Bivalvia; Pectinida; Pectinidae. The transcript is spliced from 5 exons. The record is from RefSeq and is a predicted model, not a curated record.
GUCAAUGAUGGUGUGUUUUUUUGAUAUGCUACUGAAAAGUGAAGACAAUCUUGUUAACAAUUAUAGACACUCGUUAAUAAAUCACCUUACAUAGACUCUUCUUAGUUAAGAGCCACAAGCUGGUGGUACCAUGUACUGUAGUUGAAUAUUGAGUUCAUUGUUUAUGACUUAAUCAAUAUACACAAUUUACUUUUCAGGUAUGCCCAUUUUGUAUUUGUGAUUUAAAUUUAUGCUAAAUAUAAUAAAAUUGGUGCAAUUUCAGUAAAUCUUUAGCGUUAAUUCUCAAAAUUUCUUACAGUGAUUUGAAAUUAUAACCAUUUAAAAUUUUACAAAUGUCAUUAUUCUAGUACAGGAUAAGAACCAUUGCAUUGAGAAGGAUUACAUUUACAAGAAUCAAAUAUUGGUACCCUUCGUCCAAAAUAAAAUACAUCUACAGGGAUUUUAUUGGGUGAUUAAGACAUUGGGUGGUUAAGACAUUGGGUGGUUAAUUGAAACAUUGGGAAGUUAAGACAUUGGAGGAUUAAGAUGCUGGGUGACUAAGAUGUUGGGUGAUUAACACAUUGAGGGAUUCAAAUGUUGGGUGAUUAAGACAUUGGGGGAUAAAGACAUUGGGGGAUUAAGACAUUGGGGGAUUAAGAUAUUGGGGGAUAAAGACAUUGGGGAUUAAGACAUUGGAGGAUUAAGACAUUAUGUGGUUAAGACAUUGGAUGGCUAAGACGUUGGGUGAUUAAGUUUUAUUUAUAAUAAUAAACCCCAUGUUUGAUUUUUAAUGAUUGACAGAAGCAGCAACCAAUCGGCUACAAGUGCCAGACAGUCGGGGCAUGUAAAUACCUAUGGAGAUGUGCUGUGGAACAACAGUUAUUCUUUACGUUGCCCAAUUCUGACAACCCGCCAAAGCUGAGGUCAGGAGGGUCAUUGUUCUCACGAGGGUCAAAGUUCAGGUUCAGUGGGAAGUGUCAGAACGAGGCGUACAGUAACAGUGACGGAAUCAACAGGAACGAACCAGCAUUCUCCAGGUCGUCAUCACUUCCCAACUUUGGCAGGAAGAGUGACAGCAAGGCGUCUCUGAAGAACUCCUCAGUGUUAGCUGAACCUGUCAAAGAAGUUCAACCUCUGCCCAUACUUGAGCUGAAGCCAGGUAAACUUUUGUCAAAUGUAGUGGUUCAUGUCAUCGCACAUCACCUCAAGGGAGGUAACUCCAGAAAACUUCUUUGCACACCUUUUUUUACACAUUUCUGCUCAUCUUUUACCAAAUGCCAACUUAUUUGCAUUAUUAAGGCAUCAAAAAAAAUCAUAGAGAACUCCAGGAUAAAACCCUACAGCCUGAAAAAAAUGAAGAUAUUUAUCAUUUUUGUCUUUUUUUAUUUAUUAUCUAAAAAAAAUCCCAUCACCACACUUUCACCUUGAUUGGCUAACAAUUCAAUGUUUGAUUUAGAAUUAAGCCAUUUAUGAUGUUAUAUUUCAACCAUAAAAUAAUGUUCCAGCUAAAUUUUCUGGGUACAAUCCAUGCUAAUUGGCCAAUAGAAAGUUCACCUCAGCAUGUAAAGUAAUGAUCAUGGACCAAGG